AGUGAACGCUGGCGGUAGGCCUAACACAUGCAAGUCGAACGGCAGCACAGUAAGAGCUUGCUCUUACGGGUGGCGAGUGGCGGACGGGUGAGGAAUACAUCGGAAUCUACUUUUUCGUGGGGGAUAACGUAGGGAAACUUACGCUAAUACCGCAUACGACCUACGGGUGAAAGCAGGGGAUCUUCGGACCUUGCGCGAUUGAAUGAGCCGAUGUCGGAUUAGCUAGUUGGCGGGGUAAAGGCCCACCAAGGCGACGAUCCGUAGCUGGUCUGAGAGGAUGAUCAGCCACACUGGAACUGAGAUACGGUCCAGACGCCUACGGGAGGCAGCAGUGGGGAAUAUUGGACAAUAGGCGCAAGCCUGAUCCAGCCAUACCGCGUGGGUGAAGAAGGCCUUCGGGUUGUAAAGCCCUUUUGUUGGGAAAGAAAAGCAGCAGGUUAAUACCCCGCUGUUCUGACGGUACCCAAAGAAUAAGCACCGGCUAACUUCGUG
Molecule: ribosomal RNA, 492 nt
Filed under: uncultured bacterium
Lineage: Bacteria
Description: partial 16S ribosomal RNA
Rfam family: Bacterial small subunit ribosomal RNA
Source: RNAcentral